This 497-nucleotide ribosomal RNA is filed under the name uncultured bacterium. Its description in RNAcentral is "partial 16S ribosomal RNA". It matches the Rfam family "Bacterial small subunit ribosomal RNA", at positions 31 to 507 of the family's 1533-position model. The record is from RNAcentral.
GAAGAAAGCUGGCGGCGUGCCUAAUACAUGCAAGUUGAGCGAUGAAGAUUGGUGCUUGCACCAAUUUGAAGAGCAGCGAACGGGUGAGUAACGCGUGGGGAAUCUGCCUUUGAGCGGGGGACAACAUUUGGAAACGAAUGCUAAUACCGCAUAACAACUUUAAACAUAAGUUUUAAGUUUGAAAGAUGCAAUUGCAUCACUCAAAGAUGAUCCCGCGUUGUAUUAGCUAGUUGGUGAGGUAAAGGCUCACCGAGGCGAUGAUACAUAGCCGACCUGAGAGGGUGAUCGGCCACAUUGGGACUGAGACACGGCCCAAACUCCUACGGGAGGCAGCAGUAGGGAAUCUUCGGCAAUGGACGAAAGUCUGACCGAGCAACGCCGCGUGAGCGAAGAAGGUUUUCGGAUCGUAAAACUCUGUUGGUAGAGAAGAACGUUGGUGAGAGUGGAAAGCUCAUCAAGUGACGGUAACUACCCAGAAAGGGACGGCUAACUACGUG